UAGGGAAUCUUCCACAAUGGGCGCAAGCCUGAUGGAGCAACACCGCGUGAGUGAAGAAGGGUUUCGGCUCGUAAAGCUCUGUUGUUAAAGAAGAACACGUAUGAGAGUAACUGUUCAUACGUUGACGGUAUUUAACCAGAAAGUCACGGCUAACUACGUGCCAGCAGCCGCGGUAAUACGUAGGUGGCAAGCGUUAUCCGGAUUUAUUGGGCGUAAAGAGAGUGCAGGCGGUUUUCUAAGUCUGAUGUGAAAGCCUUCGGCUUAACCGGAGAAGUGCAUCGGAAACUGGAUAACUUGAGUGCAGAAGAGGGUAGUGGAACUCCAUGUGUAGCGGUGGAAUGCGUAGAUAUAUGGAAGAACACCAGUGGCGAAGGCGGCUACCUGGUCUGCAACUGACGCU
Molecule: ribosomal RNA, 400 nt
Filed under: uncultured bacterium
Lineage: Bacteria
Description: bacterial SSU rRNA
Rfam family: Bacterial small subunit ribosomal RNA
Source: RNAcentral